RNAcentral lists this small RNA (686 nucleotides) under Pan troglodytes (chimpanzee). RNAcentral describes it as "processed transcript". Lineage: Eukaryota; Metazoa; Chordata; Mammalia; Primates; Hominidae. The record is from RNAcentral.
GAGUGAACGAGGAGCCCCGUGAUCUCCUGUGGUUCAAGAGAGACUUCAGAAGGCUUCUCCAGGGAAAGUGACCGAGGCAGUGAAAGAGGCCAUUGACACAGGGUACCGGCACUUCGACUGUGCUUACUUUUACCACAAUGAGAGGGAGGUUGGAGCAGGGAUCCGUUGCAAGAUCAAGGAAGGCGCUGUAAGACGGGAGGAUCUGUUCAUUGCCACUAAGCUGUGGUGCACCUGCCAUAAGAAGUCCUUGGUGGAAACAGCAUGCAGAAGGAGUCUCAAGGCCUUGAAGCUGAACUAUUUGGACCUCUACCUCAUACACUGGCCCAUGGGUUUCAAGCCUCCUCAUCCAGAAUGGAUCAUGAGCUGCAGUGAACUUUCCUUCUGCCUCUCACAUCCUAGAGUGCAGGACUUGCCUCUGGACGAGAGCAACAUGGUCAUUCCCAGUGACACGGACUUCCUGGACACAUGGGAGGCCAUGGAGGACCUGGUGAUCACCGGGCUGGUGAAGAACAUCGGUGUGUCAAACUUCAACCAUGAACAGCUUGAGAGGCUUUUGAAUAAGCCUGGGUUGAGGUUCAAGCCACUAACCAACCAGAUUGAGUGCCACCCAUAUCUUACUCAGAAGAAUCUGAUCAGUUUUUGCCAAUCCAGAGAUGUGUCCGUGACUGCUUACCGUCCUCUUGGUG